UCGAGGAUCUUCGGCAAUGGGCGCAAGCCUGACCGAGCGACGCCGCGUGAGCGAUGAAGGCCAUUAGGUUGUAAAGCUCUGUCGAGGGGGAGCAAGCCGCAAGGUUGAGCGAUCCCUGGAGGAAGCACGGGCUAAGUUCGUGCCAGCAGCCGCGGUAAGACGAACCGUGCGAACGUUGUUCGGAAUCAUUGGGCUUAAAGGGCGCGUAGGCGGGUGUUCAAGUCCGGGGUGAAAUCCUCCAGCUCAACUGGAGAAGAGCCCCGGAUACUGUUCACCUGGAGAGAGGUAGGGGCACAUGGAACUUCCGGUGGAGCGGUGAAAUGCGUAGAGAUCGGAAGGAACGCCGGUGGCGAAAGCGAUGUGCUGGAUCUUUUCUGACGCUGAGGCGCGAAAGCUAGGG
This 400-nucleotide ribosomal RNA is filed under the name uncultured bacterium. RNAcentral describes it as "bacterial SSU rRNA". It matches the Rfam family "Bacterial small subunit ribosomal RNA", at positions 355 to 765 of the family's 1533-position model. The record is from RNAcentral.